This 444-nucleotide ribosomal RNA is filed under the name Fusobacterium periodonticum. RNAcentral's name for it is "bacterial SSU rRNA". It matches the Rfam family "Bacterial small subunit ribosomal RNA", at positions 28 to 498 of the family's 1533-position model. The record is from RNAcentral. Lineage: Bacteria; Fusobacteriati; Fusobacteriota; Fusobacteriia; Fusobacteriales; Fusobacteriaceae.
GAUGAACGCUGACAGAAUGCUUAACACAUGCAAGUCAACUUGAACUUCGGUUUGGGUGGCGGACGGGUGAGUAACGCGUAAAGAACUUGCCUCACAGAUAGGGACAACAUUUGGAAACGAAUGCUAAUACCUGAUAUUAUGAUUUUAGGGCAUCCUAGGAUUAUGAAAGCUAUAUGCGCUGUGAGAGAGCUUUGCGUCCCAUUAGCUAGUUGGAGAGGUAACGGCUCACCAAGGCGAUGAUGGGUAGCCGGCCUGAGAGGGUGAUCGGCCACAAGGGGACUGAGACACGGCCCUUACUCCUACGGGAGGCAGCAGUGGGGAAUAUUGGACAAUGGACCAAGAGUCUGAUCCAGCAAUUCUGUGUGCACGAUGAAGUUUUUCGGAAUGUAAAGUGCUUUCAGUUGGGAAGAAAAAAAUGACGGACCAACAGAAGAAAGGGCGGUA